GUUGGGUAGGGGAGCGUUCUGUAAGCCUGUGAAGGUGUGCUGUGAGGCAUGCUGGAGGUAUCAGAAGUGCGAAUGCUGACAUAAGUAACGAUAAAGCGGGUGAAAAGCCCGCUCGCCGGAAGACCAAGGGUUCCUGUCCAACGUUAAUCGGGGCAGGGUGAGUCGACCCCUAAGGCGAGGCCGAAAGGCGUAGUCGAUGGGAAACAGGUUAAUAUUCCUGUACUUGGUGUUACUGCGAAGGGGGGACGGAGAAGGCUAUGUUGGCCGGGCGACGGUUGUCCCGGUUUAAGCGUGUAGGCUGGUUUUCCAGGCAAAUCCGGAAAAUCAAGGCUGAGGCGUGAUGACGAGGCACUACGGUGCUGAAGCAACAAAUGCCCUGCUUCCAGGAAAAGCCUCUAAGCAUCAGGUAACAUCAAAUCGUACCCCAAACCGACACAGGUGGUCAGGUAGAGAAUACCAAGGCGCUUGAGAGAACUCGGGUGAAGGAACUAGGCAAAAUGGUGCCGUAACUUCGGGAGAAGGCACGCUGAUAUGUAGGUGAAGUCCCUCGCGGAUGGAGCUGAAAUCAGUCGAAGAUACCAGCUGGCUGCAACUGUUUAUUAAAAACACAGCACUGUGCAAACACGAAAGUGGACGUAUACGGUGUGACGCCUGCCCGGUGCCGGAAGGUUAAUUGAUGGGGUCAGCGCAAGCGAAGCUCUUGAUCGAAGCCCCGGUAAACGGCGGCCGUAACUAUAACGGUCCUAAGGUAGCGAAAUUCCUUGUCGGGUAAGUUCCGACCUGCACGAAUGGCGUAAUGAUGGCCAGGCUGUCUCCACCCGAGACUCAGUGAAAUUGAACUCGCUGUGAAGAUGCAGUGUACCCGCGGCAAGACGGAAAGACCCCGUGAACCUUUACUAUAGCUUGACACUGAACAUUGAGCCUUGAUGUGUAGGAUAGGUGGGAGGCUUUGAAGUGUGGACGCCAGUCUGCAUGGAGCCGACCUUGAAAUACCACCCUUUAAUGUUUGAUGUUCUAACGUGGACCCGUGAUCCGGGUUGCGGACAGUGUCUGGUGGGUAGUUUGACUGGGGCGGUCUCCUCCUAAAGAGUAACGGAGGAGCACGAAGGUUGGCUAAUCCUGGUCGGACAUCAGGAGGUUAGUGCAAUGGCAUAAGCCAGCUUGACUGCGAGCGUGACGGCGCGAGCAGGUGCGAAAGCAGGUCAUAGUGAUCCGGUGGUUCUGAAUGGAAGGGCCAUCGCUCAACGGAUAAAAGGUACUCCGGGGAUAACAGGCUGAUACCGCCCAAGAGUUCAUAUCGACGGCGGUGUUUGGCACCUCGAUGUCGGCUCAUCACAUCCUGGGGCUGAAGUAGGUCCCAAGGGUAUGGCUGUUCGCCAUUUAAAGUGGUACGCGAGCUGGGUUUAGAACGUCGUGAGACAGUUCGGUCCCUAUCUGCCGUGGGCGCUGGAGAACUGAGGGGGGCUGCUCCUAGUACGAGAGGACCGGAGUGGACGCAUCACUGGUGUUCGGGUUGUCAUGCCAAUGGCACUGCCCGGUAGCUAAAUGCGGAAGAGAUAAGUGCUGAAAGCAUCUAAGCACGAAACUUGCCCCGAGAUGAGUUCUCCCUGACCCUUUAAGGGUCCUGAAGGAACGUUGAAGACGACGACGUUGAUAGGCCGGGUGUGUAAGCGCAGCGAUGCGUUGAGCUAACCGGUACUAAUGAACCGUGAGGCUUAACCUU
This 1723-nucleotide ribosomal RNA is filed under the name Escherichia coli. RNAcentral describes it as "partial 23S ribosomal RNA". It matches the Rfam family "Bacterial large subunit ribosomal RNA", at positions 1223 to 2925 of the family's 2925-position model. Lineage: Bacteria; Pseudomonadati; Pseudomonadota; Gammaproteobacteria; Enterobacterales; Enterobacteriaceae. The record is from RNAcentral. RNAcentral also lists the same sequence under 1 other name.